GUAUUCGUAGCCAAGUUUGGUAAGGCACCUGACUUUUAAUCAGGAGACUCGCAGAGUUCAAAUCUCGCCGGAUACA
RNAcentral lists this transfer RNA (76 nucleotides) under Bacteriophage sp. RNAcentral's name for it is "tRNA-Lys". It matches the Rfam family "tRNA". From Rfam's summary of the family: Transfer RNA (tRNA) molecules are approximately 80 nucleotides in length. Their secondary structure includes four short double-helical elements and three loops (D, anti-codon, and T loops). Further hydrogen bonds mediate the characteristic L-shaped molecular structure. tRNAs have two regions of fundamental functional importance: the anti-codon, which is responsible for specific mRNA codon recognition, and the 3' end, to which the tRNAs corresponding amino acid is attached (by aminoacyl-tRNA synthetases). tRNAs cope with the degeneracy of the genetic code in two manners: having more than one tRNA (with a specific anti-codon) for a particular amino acid; and 'wobble' base-pairing, i.e. permitting non-standard base-pairing at the 3rd anti-codon position. The record is from RNAcentral.